RNAcentral lists this ribosomal RNA (253 nucleotides) under uncultured bacterium. Its description in RNAcentral is "partial 16S ribosomal RNA". It matches the Rfam family "Bacterial small subunit ribosomal RNA", at positions 524 to 776 of the family's 1533-position model. The record is from RNAcentral.
UACGAAGGGGGCGAGCGUUGUUCGGAUUUACUGGGCGUAAAGGGCGCGCAGGCGGCGCAUUUUGUCAGGCGUGAAAGCCCCGGGCUUAACCUGGGAACUGCGUUUGAUACGGAUGGGCUAGAGUUCGGUAGAGGAGAGUGGAAUUCCCAGUGUAGAGGUGAAAUUCGUAGAUAUUCGGAAGAACACCAGUGGCGAAGGCGGCUCACUGGCCCGGUACUGACGCUGAGGUGCGAAAGCGUGGGGAGCAAACAGG